Non-coding RNA from Phialemonium atrogriseum, 106 nucleotides. Lineage: Eukaryota; Fungi; Ascomycota; Sordariomycetes; Cephalothecales; Cephalothecaceae. The record is from the annotation of a RefSeq genome assembly.
GGCAAGAUGGCCGAGCGGUCCAAGGCGCCACGUUAAGGUCUACAAAACCUUGAACAUCAAUUCCGUGGUCUCGAAAGGGGCGUGAGUUCGAAUCUCACUCUUGUCA